UACGUAGGGGGCAAGCGUUGUCCGGAUUUACUGGGCGUAAAGAGCUCGUAGGCGGUUUGUCACGUCUGCUGUGAAAACUGGAGGCUCAACCUCCAGCCUGCAGUGGGUACGGGCAGACUAGAGUGCGGUAGGGGAGAUUGGAAUUCCUGGUGUAGCGGUGGAAUGCGCAGAUAUCAGGAGGAACACCGAUGGCGAAGGCAGAUCUCUGGGCCGUAACUGACGCUGAGGAGCGAAAGCAUGGGGAGCGAACAGG
RNAcentral lists this ribosomal RNA (253 nucleotides) under uncultured bacterium. RNAcentral's name for it is "partial 16S ribosomal RNA". It matches the Rfam family "Bacterial small subunit ribosomal RNA", at positions 524 to 776 of the family's 1533-position model. The record is from RNAcentral.